Molecule: non-coding RNA, 30 nt
Filed under: Rattus norvegicus (Norway rat)
Lineage: Eukaryota; Metazoa; Chordata; Mammalia; Rodentia; Muridae
Source: RNAcentral
UCUAGAAUAGAGCCUGAAAUAGGAGUUGCA